GUCUUCUUGUUAUAUUUAGGAAGUCUGGCCUGCCCAGUGAAAAUAAUUUAACGGCCGCGGUAUACUGACCGUGCAAAGGUAGCAUAAUCAUUAGUCUUUUAAUAGAGGGCUGGUAUGAAGGGUUUAACGAGGUGUUGACUGUCUCAUUUAAUUUGAAUUUAGAAUUUAAUUUUUUAGUUAAAAAGCUAAAAUAUUAUUGGAAGACGAGAAGACCCUAUAGAGCUUUAUACUUUUACUAUUGAUUUAUUAUAGAUUAUUAUUAUUUAUUAUUAGUAGAAGGUAUUUUGUUGGGGUGACAAAAAUAUAUGAAUAACUUUUUUAUUUUAUUUACAUUGAUAUAUGAAUAUUAGAUCCAAUCUUAUUGAUUGUUAGAUUAAGUUACCUUAGGGAUAACAGCGUAAUCCCUCUCCAGAGUUCAUAUUUACAGAGGGGCUUGCGACCUCGAUGUUGGAUUAAGAUAAUAAUUAGGUGCAGCCGCUUAAUUAAUAGGUCUGUUCGACCUUUAAAUUCUU
This 512-nucleotide ribosomal RNA is filed under the name Aeshna juncea. RNAcentral describes it as "partial 16S rRNA". It matches the Rfam family "Bacterial large subunit ribosomal RNA", at positions 1830 to 2597 of the family's 2925-position model. Lineage: Eukaryota; Metazoa; Arthropoda; Insecta; Odonata; Aeshnidae. The record is from RNAcentral.